RNAcentral lists this ribosomal RNA (620 nucleotides) under uncultured cyanobacterium. RNAcentral describes it as "bacterial SSU rRNA". It matches the Rfam family "Bacterial small subunit ribosomal RNA", at positions 166 to 804 of the family's 1533-position model. The record is from RNAcentral. Lineage: Bacteria; Bacillati; Cyanobacteriota.
UGAUCUGACGAGCACGGUAUGCAAUAGGUGACUCAAGAUGAAGAUUUAUUGCCUAAAGAUGAGCUCGCGUCUGAUUAGCUAGUUGGUGGGGUAAAGGCUUACCAAGGCGACGAUCAGUAGCUGGUCUGAGAGGAUGAUCAGCCACACUGGGACUGAGACACGGCCCAGACUCCUACGGGAGGCAGCAGUGGGGAAUUUUCCGCAAUGGGCGAAAGCCUGACGGAGCAACGCCGCGUGAGGGAGGAAGGCUCUUGGGUUGUAAACCUCUUUUAUCAAGGAAGAUAAUGACGGUACUUGAUGAAUCAGCAUCGGCUAACUCCGUGCCAGCAGCCGCGGUAAUACGGAGGAUGCAAGCGUUAUCCGGAAUAAUUGGGCGUAAAGCGUUCGUAGGUGGUUAUGUAAGUCUGCUGUUAAAGCGUGUAGCUCAACUACAUAUAGGCGGUGGAAACUACAUGACUAGAGUGCGUUCGGGGCAGAGGGAAUUCCUGGUGUAGCGGUGAAAUGCGUAGAUAUCAGGAAGAACACCGGUGGCGAAGGCGCUCUGCUAGGCCGCAACUGACACUGAGGGACGAAAGCUAGGGGAGCGAAAGGGAUUAGAUACCCCAGUAGUCCAAAAGGAU